UACGUAGGGGGCAAGCGUUGUCCGGAUUUAUUGGGCGUAAAGAGCGUGUAGGCGGCCAGACAAGUCUGCUGUGAAAACUCGAGGCUCAACCUCGAGACGCCGAUGGAAACCAUCUGACUAGAGUCCGGAAGAGGAGAGUGGAAUUCCUGGUGUAGCGGUGAAAUGCGCAGAUAUCAGGAAGAACACCCGUGGCUAAGGCGGCUCUCUAGUACGUGACUGACGCUGAGGCGCGAAAGCGUGGGGAGCGAACAGG
This 253-nucleotide ribosomal RNA is filed under the name uncultured bacterium. RNAcentral describes it as "partial 16S ribosomal RNA". It matches the Rfam family "Bacterial small subunit ribosomal RNA", at positions 524 to 776 of the family's 1533-position model. The record is from RNAcentral.